GUGCGAAUGAUGGAAAAAUUUUAACUUCCUGAGACUAAUGAUGUCUUCAAAGGAACCACUGAUGCAC
Small nucleolar RNA from Choloepus didactylus (southern two-toed sloth), 67 nucleotides. RefSeq annotates it as small nucleolar RNA SNORD42. The transcript has a single exon. The record is from RefSeq and is a predicted model, not a curated record. NCBI's taxonomy places the organism in Eukaryota, Metazoa, Chordata, Mammalia, Pilosa, Megalonychidae.